CCUACGGUGUGCAGCAGUCGAGAAUCAUUCACAAUGGGGGAAACCCUGAUGGUGCGACGCCGCGUGGGGGAAUGAAGGUCUUCGGAUUGUAAACUCCUGUCAUGUGGGAGCAAAUUAAAAAGAUAGUACCACAAGAGGAAGAGACGGCUAAAGCUGUGCCAGCAGCCGCGGUAAUCCAGAGGUCUCAAGCGUUGUUCGGAAUCACUGGUCGUAAAGCGUGCGUAGGCGGUUUCUUAAGUCGUGUGUGAAAGGCGCGGGCUCAACCCGCGGACGGCCCAUGAUACUGCGAGACUAGAGUAUUGGAGGGGGAACCGGAAUUCUCGGUGUAGCAGUGAAAUGCGUAGAUAUCGAGAGGAACACUCGUGGCGAAGGCGGGUUCCUGGACAUUAACUGACGCUGAGGCACGAAGGCCAGGGGAGCGAAAGGGAUUAGAUACCCUUGUAGUC
Molecule: ribosomal RNA, 446 nt
Filed under: uncultured bacterium
Lineage: Bacteria
Description: partial 16S ribosomal RNA
Rfam family: Bacterial small subunit ribosomal RNA
Source: RNAcentral